This is a long non-coding RNA of Sander lucioperca (pikeperch), 149 nucleotides long. RefSeq lists it as uncharacterized. The transcript is spliced from 4 exons. The record is from RefSeq and is a predicted model, not a curated record. NCBI's taxonomy places the organism in Eukaryota, Metazoa, Chordata, Actinopteri, Perciformes, Percidae.
CUGUAGUACACACAUUAUUUGGCCCUUUACUGUAGCAGUGUAGCAUUAUUAGCAUCAAACUGGGACGUGAAUACAUCUGGGGAAAUAAAUAUGUAGACAUGUUUGAAAACAGAUAUUAAACAGUGAAUGCUCUGUCUGGAAAUAUUAUU